RNAcentral lists this transfer RNA (57 nucleotides) under Cricetulus griseus (Chinese hamster). It matches the Rfam family "tRNA", at positions 9 to 63 of the family's 71-position model. Rfam says of the family: Transfer RNA (tRNA) molecules are approximately 80 nucleotides in length. Their secondary structure includes four short double-helical elements and three loops (D, anti-codon, and T loops). Lineage: Eukaryota; Metazoa; Chordata; Mammalia; Rodentia; Cricetidae. The record is from Rfam by way of RNAcentral.
AGCUCAGUCAGUAGAGCAUGAGAUUCUUAAUCUCAGGGUUGUGGGUUCGAGCCCCAU